RNAcentral lists this ribosomal RNA (372 nucleotides) under uncultured organism. RNAcentral's name for it is "bacterial SSU rRNA". It matches the Rfam family "Bacterial small subunit ribosomal RNA", at positions 526 to 896 of the family's 1533-position model. The record is from RNAcentral.
CGAAGGGUGCAAGCGUUACUCGGAAUUACUGGGCGUAAAGCGUGCGUAGGUGGUUUGUUAAGUCUGCUGUGAAAGCCCCGGGCUCAACCUGGGAAUGGCAGUGGAUACUGGCAAGCUAGAGUGCGGUAGAGGGUAGUGGAAUUCCCGGUGUAGCGGUGAAAUGCGUAGAGAUCGGGAGGAACACCAGUGGCGAAGGCGGCUACCUGGACCAGCACUGACACUCAGGCACGAAAGCGUGGGGAGCAAACAGGAUUAGAUACCCUGGUAGUCCACGCCCUAAACGAUGCGAACUGGACGUUGGGUGCAACUUGGCACUCAGUGUCGAAGCUAACGCGUUAAGUUCGCCGCCUGGGGAGUACGGUCGCAAGACUG